Molecule: ribosomal RNA, 399 nt
Filed under: Tetraselmis cordiformis
Lineage: Eukaryota; Viridiplantae; Chlorophyta; Chlorodendrophyceae; Chlorodendrales; Chlorodendraceae
Description: partial small subunit ribosomal RNA
Rfam family: Eukaryotic small subunit ribosomal RNA
Source: RNAcentral
GCUUGUCUCAAAGAUUAAGCCAUGCAUGUCUAAGUAUAAACUGCUUAUACUGUGAAACUGCGAAUGGCUCAUUAAAUCAGUUAUAGUUUAUUUGAUGGUACCUACUACUCGGAUAACCGUAGUAAUUCUAGAGCUAAUACGUGCGUAAAUCCCGACUCCUGGAAGGGACGUAUUUAUUAGAUUUAAGGCCAACCGAGCUUGCUCGUCUCUUGGUGAAUCAUGAUAACUUCACGAAUCGCAUGGCCUCGCGCCGGCGAUAUUUCAUUCAAAUUUCUGCCCUAUCAACUUUCGAUGGUAAGGUAUUGGCUUACCAUGGUUGCAACGGGUAACGGAGAAUUAGGGUUCGAUUCCGGAGAGGGCGCCUGAGAAAUGGCGACCACAUCCAAGGAAGGCAGCAGG